GUGCUCCCUUCGGCAGCACAUAUACUAAAAAACUGGAACCAUACAGAGAAGAUUAGGAUGCACAAGGAUGACACGCAAAUUCGUGAAGCGUUCCAUAUUAAA
Small nuclear RNA from Myotis lucifugus (little brown bat), 102 nucleotides. The record is from Ensembl. Lineage: Eukaryota; Metazoa; Chordata; Mammalia; Chiroptera; Vespertilionidae.